AUUAAUUCUCAUAAUUUCUUCUCUGAUAUAUAUUUUCUCUUGCUCUGCUUCUAUAUUCUCUGUUCAGCUGAAGGGUAUAUUAGCAACUUGUGUUCUCGGCGUUAACUUGGCUUCUGUUCGAUCAAGAAAAAAUGGCGACAAUCGAUCCAAAUCCCAACAACUCAGCUUCCAUAGGAGAUGGUCUGGUCUCUGUGGAGAACCCAAAGUCCCAACUUGUUGAAUCAUUUGGAAAAAAUUAUCCUCCUGAUUUUCUCAAAAAGGUGGUGGCAGAGGUCAUAGCUACCUAUUUGUUAGUAUUUGUGACAUGUGGUGCCGCUGCAAUUAGUACAAGUGAUGAACGAAGAAUCUCAAAACUAGGAGCCUCAGUAGCAGGAGGGCUUAUAGUGACAGUGAUGAUCUAUGCAGUGGGACAUGUCUCUGGUGCUCACAUGAACCCUGCAGUGACUACAGCUUUUGCAGCUUUUAGACAUUUUCCAUGGAAGCAGGUACCAUUUUAUGCAGCAGCUCAACUAACAGGAGCAAUUUCUGCUUCAUUUACAUUGAGAGUGCUCCUUCACCCUAUAAAACAAGUUGGAACCACUUCACCUUCUGGGUCAGAUCUUCAAGCUCUCAUCAUGGAAAUUGUAGUAACAUUUUCUAUGAUGUUUGUAACUUCAGCUGUGGCAACUGAUACAAAGGCUAUAGGAGAGUUGGCAGGUGUAGCAGUUGGUUCUGCA
Molecule: unclassified non-coding RNA, 716 nt
Filed under: Hevea brasiliensis (rubber tree)
Lineage: Eukaryota; Viridiplantae; Streptophyta; Magnoliopsida; Malpighiales; Euphorbiaceae
Source: RNAcentral